Dermochelys coriacea (leatherback sea turtle) is the source of this 973-nucleotide long non-coding RNA. RefSeq lists it as uncharacterized. The record is from RefSeq and is a predicted model, not a curated record. The transcript is spliced from 3 exons. Lineage: Eukaryota; Metazoa; Chordata; Testudines; Dermochelyidae.
CUGUAGAGGACUCUCAGUUGCUUCAUCAGUUUUCGGCACGGGUCCAGAGUCCAUUGAAUGCCCACCUACUCCAACCUUUGUGAAAUUUCCAGGUACAGGAGAAUGUUCCUGCCACUCUGAGAGAAGGCUUGGAGGAUGGUGUACUUUGACCAUACAUUGAUCAGCUGUUUUGAUGUGGUUGGCACAACUUGCUACCACCUGUGAAAAUGAGGGAACAGCUACCUUUACAGAUUGGGUCAACAGAUUCGGAGUACUAACACCAGAGGCCAAGGGAGUGCCAGAAAAGAUGCUGGCAGCCCUCAUGAAUUGUGGCUGCUAACAGCAGUACCUGUGAACAAGGCUAGCAUAUGGAGUCUCCAUGCAAAGGGAGCUGCAAACCAUGAGAACUGCCCAUUCUCUGGCAUCAUCAGAAAAUCCUGCCACUGUGCCUGCCUACCAAGAAUGAAAUGGACCGGGAAAGAGACAGAGACACCACAACUUUAUUUGAUUCCCUGAAAUUUCAGAGGAGUACCACAAGCCCCUCACCUCUUCACUGCAAAAGACCACCACACUGUGUUUAUCUAGCUUCCAGUUCAGAUCCUUCUCCCACAGCCAUUUCUUCUUGCUUGUGCAACAUGGCUGGGAGUGGGGAUAAGCCAGGGACAGGGAUGGUGAUAAUUUUUGUAAUCUUCCAAGGAAGAAAGGACUUCUGUGACUAACUUUUCCUCAUUAGAUGUGUUCCCUUACCCUUCCCGGACCGAAUUCCACUCCACCCCAACCCCAACCAUUCCACAUGGCUCCCUUUUUUAAGGGGAUGAUAAAAUCAGGAUUGAGGGAAGUGGGUGGGGAAGCACUGAAACCAUGUAAACAUCCAAGGAACAAAAGACAGCUCUUACUAACUUGAGACAGACAACUGUAUGUUUUCUGCAACUGCCCCAUCCUCAAGUAGGACCUUUCUAACCCUGCCACUUCCUUUCCCACCUAGUCCACAUGG